CUCCGCCCUUUCGAGGGAACAAAGCGAAUAAGAGUCCCAUCGGCCUUCUCUGUGAGCGUUUAAUCCCACUUUCUCGUUUCUCACCUCGGAAACAAGCCCAGUCUCCAUCCUUGCGUGUGCGUGUGCGUGUGCGUGUGCGUGUGCGCGCGCGUCUGUGUUCCCUUGGAACCUCUUGUUUCUAAUUUUUAGUUUGGCCGGGUUAUCCAGUUGGUGGUCAGAUUUUAUCGCAGCAGUUGAAAUUUUGGUAUCAAUUUUGAAACUAGUUCCGGGUGUCGCCAUUUUGCUUAUUUGGGCCUUUUUGGUAUGCUUAUUAUUUGGGUAUCUGGGUUCGAGAUUUGCUACGUUAAUGUUUUGUAAUAUAAAACCCAAGUUGUGAAUGUAAGUGGAUGAGUGAGAUAUAUAUUAAAGAUGGCCCGACUCCGACUGGAUUAAUAGCCGGGCUUGGGAGUUGUCCCUAUUUUGUUCCUGUACGUAUAGUCCCUUCCUUGACUUGGAACUGACGAGGCGGCGAUCCGCGGCAAGCAGCCACCACGAGGAGAUGGAGAAGUCCGGCAGUAAGCCGUCACACUCCCGUCUGUGUCUGAUGGCCGCCCUCUCGGCCGCCUUUUGGAUCUUGACCUUCUGCUUCCAUUUCUCAGUCCUCGGGACCACUUCCUGGUGGCCGGGCGUAUCACGUGGGAUGCCCUACCCCAACCUACUUUCACCCGGCGAAGGACGCCGACGUUUUCAGCUGGCAGGAUAGAAUGCGCAAAUUAGAUCGGAGAUGGCUAUUCUCCUUCGCGGGGGCGCCUCGUCCUCGUAAUCCCGAGUCGAUCAGAGGACAGAUUAUUGAUCAGUGCAAGGCACCCGGUGUGUGCAGACUGCUGGAGUGUGAUCUCGGGGAAAGUGCGUGCCGUUCUCCGAGCAACAUUACGCACAUGUUUCAGAGCUCCUUAUUUUGCCUGCAACCUCAUGGCGAUUCGUAUACGAUCGAGGAGAUCAGCUUUUGACCCGAUGUUGGCUGGACGAAGAGAGGAGCCAGUAGGAUCAAAGGAUAUCAGCUUCAUUAUUUCUUAUGAUGAUCAUCUUGGUGCAUUUGGUGAGAUCAUUUAUUGAAGCUUUUAAGAAGCCAUGCCUAUAACCGUGGUAAAACUGGAAUGUUUGGUUCGUCCGACAUUCUUUCUAUAUAUAUUGAUCUUUUUUUCUUUUUUUUUUUUUUUUUGUAGUUUGUAGCUUUCAUUGAACGUAUUCUCUGUAAUUUCUUAAAGGAUCUACAAAUAGAAGGCACUAGUGUUGCUGUAUCUUUUGUUUCAAUUGGUGUAAUCUAGUCAAAGCAGAAGAGAAUGUAAUCUAGUCAAAGCAGA
Long non-coding RNA from Ananas comosus (pineapple), 1343 nucleotides. RefSeq lists it as uncharacterized. The transcript is spliced from 2 exons. Lineage: Eukaryota; Viridiplantae; Streptophyta; Magnoliopsida; Poales; Bromeliaceae. The record is from RefSeq and is a predicted model, not a curated record.